UACAGAGGGUGCGAGCGUUAAUCGGAAUUACUGGGCGUAAAGCGCACGUAGGUGGCGACGUAAGUCGGGUGUGAAAGCCCCGGGCUCAACCUGGGAAUUGCAUUCGAGACUGCAUUGCUGGAGUACGGAAGAGGAAGGCGGAAUUCCCGGUGUAGCGGUGAAAUGCGUAGAGAUCGGGAGGAACACCAGUGGCGAAGGCGGCUACCUGGACCAGCACUGACACUGAGGCACGAAAGCGUGGGGAGCAAACAGG
Molecule: ribosomal RNA, 253 nt
Filed under: uncultured bacterium
Lineage: Bacteria
Description: partial 16S ribosomal RNA
Rfam family: Bacterial small subunit ribosomal RNA
Source: RNAcentral